CUUGGAGGAUGUGAAUCAGGAGCAGAGGGAAGGAGUUUUCAACAAAAGUCAGACAGAAGUACCUCUUCCUUAGAACAAAGAGACAAGUACCUUGCUGAGCAGCCUAGAACAAAAGUGAAACCUGAGGGCACACGAAGUCGAUACUAAAAAUAAAAAAUCAGCAGCCAGGUCCAAGGCUGUGGUCCAAAAUCAGAGUCACAAGGGAACCUGACUGCAGAGAGAACGUAUUGUUGAUUACUGUCAGCCCUGCAGAAGUUUACACACAGAAGCCUUGCCUGGUGGUGGAGGGCAGAGUGACCCAGCACUGCCUUGCAGGGGACCAGGCCCUGGGCCUCCUGAAGGUUCACUGAAAAAUCAACUCACAAAAGGCUGAUUAAGAGGAUAAAAGAUACCUAACUCAUAGAAAUGACCUGUAAUCAUGGCCUGGGUUAGGAACAAGGAUUUGGAGGAAGAAAGUGCCUUCAAAUCACCCUGCAAAUAGUGUUGUCUACUCAGCCACAGGAAGACAAGCCCUGGGGAUGCAUUCAGCAGGCAGCAGGUCCCGCGGGUUCUACAGCUUCAAAUUACUUGGAGCAAAUGAGGCUUUUCAGCUUUGCUUGCUCAAUGCCAAGCUCCACACUUUAGAAGGGGAUCCUUGUAUACCUGACUCACCACCCGAAGGAAAUGUCUUCAGAGAUGUUCACUGCCCCAGGUAGGGCCCAUGCUCCACGUAAGGCCAUCCGCUCCAGGUGUAAUCGUGCCAGGCUCCAUUGCCCAAUAUGUGGCAAGUCAAUACAUGGAGACACAAAGAAUUGUAGCAGAGAAAGAAGUUUAAUCAUCAGGGAUUCAAACAAGGAGAGAAAGAGUCUCUCUCUGUUACCCAGGCUGGAGUGCAGUGAUGCAAUCAUAGCUCACUGCAACCUCAACUUCUUGGGUUCAAGUGAUCCUCCAGCUUCAGUCUUCUGAGUAGCUGAGAUUAUAGGUACUCACCACCCCACCUGGCUAAUUUUUAAAAAUUUUUUGCACGACAGAAUCUCGCUAUCUUGCCCAGGCUGGUCUCAAACUUCUGGCCUCUAGUGAUCAUCUGCCUUGGCCUCCCAAGUGCUGGGAUUAUAGGCACGAGCCACUGUGCCCAGCCUGUAUAUAUGUUUUUAUUAUUAUUCAGGGUAAAUAUUAUUAUUAUAUUAAAUUAAAUAUUACUCAGGGUAAAUGCCUAAGUGUUGAAUUUCUGGGUCAUAGAGUAGAUACAUGUUUAACAUUAUAUAUGCUAAAUCGUUCCCUGAAGUGGUUGUAUUAUUUUUCACUUCUGACAGCAAGGUAUAGGAAGCUCAGUUGCUGCACAUCUUUGCCAGCCUGUGCUAUUCUCAGUCUUUCUGUUAUAGCUGACCUAGUGUAUGUAAAGUGGUAUUUUAUUAUUGCUUAUUUUGAAUUUCCCUGACUGCAGUGAUUUUGAGCACCUUUUCUUGUGCUUACUGGUCACUGAGUUAGCUCCUUCUCACUAGGGUCUUUUUGAGACCUUAUCUAUUUUUUUUUUCAAAACUGGGUCUUUCUUUUAAUUAUUGAUUUACAGGAAAUUUUUAAAAUAUGUUAUGAGUAAGAGUGUUUUUUUAGAUAUAUAAUGAAUAUUUUCAGGCUGUGAUUUACCUUCUUAUUGUCAUAAUGAUAUGUUUUUAAGAGAAAAAAUUUUAAUUUUGACAUAAUUCAAUUUAUGUAGUUUUUUCUUUCAUUAUUAAGGCUUCUUUUUUUCUAAGAAAUCUGGCUAAACUCAGUGUGGAAAGAUAUUCCUUUAUGUUUCUUUAUGGAAGUUUUUUUUUUUUUAAUUCAAGCUUUUACAUUCAUGGCUCUGAUCCAUCUUGAAUUAGUUGUUACACACGGAGUGAGUAGGGUACAAUGUUCAGCUUUUUCCCAACAGAGUAUUCAGUUGUUCCAAUACAUUUUGUCUAUAAGGCUCCUUUUUGUUUUUGUUCUUUCAUAAAAAUUUAAGGGGUACAAGUGCAGUUUUGCUACAUGGAUAUAUUGUGUAGUGGUGAAGUCUGGGCUUUGGUGUACCCAUCACCUGGAUGAUGUACAUUGUACCCGUUAAGUAAUUUCUAUCCCUUGCCCCUCCCACCUUCCUACCCUUCUGAAUCUCCAGUGUCUGUUAUUCUACACUGUAUGUCCCCAUGCACGCAUUAUUUAGCUCCCACUUAUAAGUGAGAACAGGAGGUAUUUGGCUUUCUGUUUCUGAGUUGUUUCAUUUAAAAUAAUGGCCUCUAGUUCCACCCAUGAUGCUGCAAAAGACAUGAUUUAAUUCUUUUUAAUGGCCGAAUAGUAUUCCAUUGUAUACAUUUAUCACAUUUUCUUUAUGUAAUCACUUAGGUUGAUUCCAUGACUUUGCUGUUGUGAAUAGAGCUGUGAUAAACAUGUGAGUGCAGGUAUUUUUUUUUACAUAAUUUCUUUUCCUUUGGGUGGAUACUCGGAAGUGGAAUUGCUGGAUCAAAUGGAGGUUGCAGUUUUAGUUCUUUGAGAAAUCUCUAUACCAUUUUUCAGAGAGGUUGUACUAAUUUACAUUCCCACCAACAGUGUAUAAGCAUUCCCUGUUCUCUGCAUCCUCACUGAUAUCCAUUGUUUUUUGACUUCUUAGUAGUAACCAUUCUAACUGGUGUAAGAUGAUAUCUCAUUAUGAUUUUGAUUCACAUUUCCCUGAUGAUUAGUGAUGUUGAAUAUUUUUUUUCAUAUGCCUGUUAACUGUUUGCAUGGAAAAGACUCCUUGGCAACUUGGACAUAAAAUAAUUAUUGGUUAAUUUGCAGGUCUAUGUCUAGACCCUGCUCUUUUUCAUUGAUUUAUUUGGUUUGUCCUUAUACAAAUACUACAUUUCCUUGAUUGCUGUAGUUUUGUAGUAAAUCUUGUUUAAGGUCACUAAAAUAGGCCUAUCUCUUCUUUCCAACCUAUAUGGCUUUUUUUUUCUUGCCUUAUUAUCCUACCUAUGACUAUCAGCAUAAUGUUGAAUAAAAGCUAUGAGAGUUGGUGUCAUUACUGUUUUCUGGUUUCAUGUAAAAUAUAUCCAAUAUUUCACCAUAAGUUAUGAUGUUAACUAUUGGUUUUUCAUAGAUAUUAUGAUAGAUUAAAGAAGUUGCUUUUAUUCCUAGUUUUCUGAGAGUUUUAAAAAAUCAUGAAUAGGUAUCAAGUUUUGUCAUGUGCCUUUUCUGUAUCUAUCAAGUUACUCGUAAGAUUUUUUAUUCAGUUAAUGUAGUAAAAUAUGCUGAUUUGGAAUGUAAGUAAGCCUUACAUUCUUGAAUUAAGUGUCAUGCAAAUGAUAUGUUAUCCUUUUUAUGUAAGGCUGGAUGUGAUUUACUAAUUUUUGUUAAAGACUUAUACAUCUAUGCUCAUGACAGAUAUGGUCUAUAAUUUACCUCUUUGAUGUCUCAAGUUUGGAGUCAGGGUAUUGCUAGACUCAUAAAAUAAAUUGGUACAGAUUGACCUAAAUGGAACUCUGAAAAAUACUCACUAUAUAAUCUAAUUGCCAAGUCCAACCCCCAUUAUCAAAUUAAUGAGCAAAACGCAGAAUAAUUUUUGUCAGAAAAAUAUUCCUUUAUUUUUCAAUUCAAAUAAACAUUAUUGAUAUGCACUCCUUUGAUAACCGUCUUCUAAAUUAUAAUUCUAAGAUAGAUAGGUAAAUAAAUAGAUUUAGAUGAAGACACACACCUUUGUUGCUAUAAAAGUGACACACCCUUGCCUUCAAUAUUCCUUAUAGAUAUUUUCUUUGCUUUGCCCUCAAAGACUCAUCCUCAAUAGCAAUACAGUCUUUGACAAGACCAAAAGAGGGAAGACAUAAGGACACACGCAAAUAAAAGUUGUUAAAAUUCUGCUAUUCCAUUCAAUAAUAUAGCUGUACUCCAAGCAUUGACAACAUUUUAAACCUAAACCCGUCAUUUCUAAUACCACGAUUUGCUCUGAACAGAAAUAUGCAUAAUGUGUGGAAAGUCUAGAAGUCCAACCGGGAUGAUUCAACUUUAAAUAAAGAAGGCUACUGAGGCUAUUCAUACCA
This 4007-nucleotide long non-coding RNA is filed under the name Homo sapiens (human). Its description in RNAcentral is "HSALNT0024009". Lineage: Eukaryota; Metazoa; Chordata; Mammalia; Primates; Hominidae. The record is from RNAcentral.